RNAcentral lists this ribosomal RNA (204 nucleotides) under Klebsiella pneumoniae. Its description in RNAcentral is "partial 23S ribosomal RNA". It matches the Rfam family "Bacterial large subunit ribosomal RNA", at positions 36 to 240 of the family's 2925-position model. RNAcentral also lists the same sequence under 1 other name. The record is from RNAcentral. Lineage: Bacteria; Pseudomonadati; Pseudomonadota; Gammaproteobacteria; Enterobacterales; Enterobacteriaceae.
GCAGUCAGAGGCGAUGAAGGACGUGCUAAUCUGCGAAAAGCGUCGGUAAGGUGAUAUGAACCGUUAUAACCGGCGAUGUCCGAAUGGGGAAACCCAGUGCAAUUCGUUGCACUAUCGUUAACUGAAUACAUAGGUUAACGAGGCGAACCGGGGGAACUGAAACAUCUAAGUACCCCGAGGAAAAGAAAUCAACCGAGAUUCCCC